Long non-coding RNA from Hyposmocoma kahamanoa, 366 nucleotides. RefSeq lists it as uncharacterized. NCBI's taxonomy places the organism in Eukaryota, Metazoa, Arthropoda, Insecta, Lepidoptera, Cosmopterigidae. The record is from RefSeq and is a predicted model, not a curated record. The transcript is spliced from 2 exons.
UGAAUACUUUUUAAAACAUUUUAAAAAGAACUAAUAUUUUUAAAUGUUGUUCUCAAAUUUGAAAAUGGAACAGUGUGUGCGAGCGUUUGUAUUUUGGAUAUUGAUCUGUUUAGUCUUAAUUUACUUACACAAGUGUUAUCGUGUUAAUUUAUUGCGAACAUGGCAUAUCAAUUUUGAAAAGGCUUGUGAACAAUUUGAAAAUUCUUGGACGUUUCGAUAAACGCCCAAGAGAACCACAGCAAGAAAACCACAUGAUCAACGACGAAGAACUUGAUAUUUUAAUUUACUUUUCGGCUUUUCCGAAAAGAUCAGUGAGAGAAGGAGAACUUGAAAUUGGAAUUUCGAAAAGUAAAAUACACCGUGUAU